AGAGUUUGAUCAUGGCUCAGGACGAACGCUGGCGGCGUGCUUAACACAUGCAAGUCGAACGGAAAGGCCCUUCGGGGUACUCGAGUGGCGAACGGGUGAGUAACACGUGGGUGAUCUGCCCUGCACUCUGGGAUAAGCCUGGGAAACUGGGUCUAAUACCGGAUAGGACCGCAUGCUUCAUGGUGUGUGGUGCAAAGCUUUUGCGGUGUGGGAUGAGCCCGCGGCCUAUCAGCUUGUUGGUGGGGUAAUGGCCUACCAAGGCGACGACGGGUAGCCGGCCUGAGAGGGUGACCGGCCACACUGGGACUGAGAUACGGCCCAGACUCCUACGGGAGGCAGCAGUGGGGAAUAUUGCACAAUGGGCGCAAGCCUGAUGCAGCGACGCCGCGUGAGGGAUGACGGCCUUCGGGUUGUAAACCUCUUUCAGUAGGGACGAAGCGAAAGUGACGGUACCUACAGAAGAAGGACCGGCCAACUACGUGCCAGCAGCCGCGGUAAUACGUAGGGUCCAAGCGUUGUCCGGAAUUACUGGGCGUAAAGAGCUCGUAGGUGGUUUGUCGCGUUGUUCGUGAAAACUCACAGCUUAACUGUGGGCGUGCGGGCGAUACGGGCAGACUAGAGUACUGCAGGGGAGACUGGAAUUCCUGGUGUAGCGGUGGAAUGCGCAGAUAUCAGGAGGAACACCGGUGGCGAAGGCGGGUCUCUGGGCAGUAACUGACGCUGAGGAGCGAAAGCGUGGGGAGCGAACAGGAUUAGAUACCCCGGUAGUCCAA
RNAcentral lists this ribosomal RNA (773 nucleotides) under uncultured bacterium. RNAcentral describes it as "bacterial SSU rRNA". It matches the Rfam family "Bacterial small subunit ribosomal RNA", at positions 8 to 798 of the family's 1533-position model. The record is from RNAcentral.